GACGAACGCUGGCGGCGUGCUUAACACAUGCAAGUCGAACGGAAAGGCCCUGCUUUUGUGGGGUGCUCGAGUGGCGAACGGGUGAGUAACACGUGAGUAACCUGCCCUUGACUUUGGGAUAACUUCAGGAAACUGGGGCUAAUACCGGAUAGGAGCUCCUGCUGCAUGGUGGGGGUUGGAAAGUUUCGGCGGUUGGGGAUGGACUCGCGGCUUAUCAGCUUGUUGGUGGGGUAGUGGCUUACCAAGGCUUUGACGGGUAGCCGGCCUGAGAGGGUGACCGGCCACAUUGGGACUGAGAUACGGCACAGACUCCUACGGGAGGCAGCAGUGGGGAAGAUUGCACAAUGGGCGGAAGCCUGAUGCAGCAACGCCGCGUGCGGGAUGACGGCCUUCGGGUUGUAACCCGUUUUCGCCUGGGACGAAGCGUGAGUGACGGUAAUGGGUAAAGAAGCACCGGCUAACUACGUG
This 468-nucleotide ribosomal RNA is filed under the name uncultured bacterium. RNAcentral's name for it is "partial 16S ribosomal RNA". It matches the Rfam family "Bacterial small subunit ribosomal RNA", at positions 28 to 507 of the family's 1533-position model. The record is from RNAcentral.